Molecule: ribosomal RNA, 163 nt
Filed under: uncultured bacterium
Lineage: Bacteria
Description: partial 16S ribosomal RNA
Rfam family: Bacterial small subunit ribosomal RNA
Source: RNAcentral
UGGGGAAUACUGGACAAUGGGCGAGAGCCUGAUCCAGCCAUGCCGCGUGUGUGAAGAAGGUCUUCGGAUUGUAAAGCACUUUAAGUUGGGAGGAAGGGCAGUAAGUUAAUCCCUUGACUGUUUUGACGUUACCGACAGAAUAAGCACCGGCUAACUCUGUGGC